GGCGAACGCUGGCGGCAUGCCUAAUACAUGCAAGUCGAACGCUGAAGCACCCUGCUUGCAGAGUGCGGAUGAGUGGCGAACGGGUGAGUAACACGUGGGGAAUCUGCCUAUAAGUGGGGGAUAACAUUCGGAAACGGAUGCUAAUACCGCAUAUAUUCUUGGACCGCCUGGUCCUUGAAAGAAAGACGGCUUUGCUGUCGCUUAUAGAUGAUCCCGCGGCGUAUUAGUUAGUUGGUGGGGUAAAGGCCUACCAAGACAAUGAUACGUAGCCGACCUGAGAGGGUGAUCGGCCACACUGGGACUGAGACACGGCCCAGACUCCUACGGGAGGCAGCAGUAGGGAAUCUUCCACAGUGGGCGAAAGCCUGAUGGAGCAAUGCCGCGUGAAUGAAGAAGGUCUUCGGAUCGUAAAGUUCUGUUAUUAGAGAAGAACAAGUCAAGGAAUAACUGUCUUGACUUUGACGGUACCUAACCAGAAAGUCACGGCUAACUACGUG
Molecule: ribosomal RNA, 497 nt
Filed under: uncultured bacterium
Lineage: Bacteria
Description: partial 16S ribosomal RNA
Rfam family: Bacterial small subunit ribosomal RNA
Source: RNAcentral